UACGAAGGGUGCAAACGUUGCUCGGAAUCAUUGGGCGUAAAGCGCACGUAGGCGGCUUCGCAAGUCGGAUGUGAAAUCCCUCGGCUCAACCGAGGACGUGCAUCCGAAACUGCGGAGCUUGAGUACUGAAGAGGAUCGCGGAAUUCCCGGUGUAGAGGUGAAAUUCGUAGAUAUCGGGAGGAACACCAGUGGCGAAGGCGGCGAUCUGGGCAGUUACUGACGCUGAGGUGCGAAAGCGGUGGGGAGCAAACAGGG
Molecule: ribosomal RNA, 255 nt
Filed under: uncultured bacterium
Lineage: Bacteria
Description: partial 16S ribosomal RNA
Rfam family: Bacterial small subunit ribosomal RNA
Source: RNAcentral